Molecule: ribosomal RNA, 243 nt
Filed under: Mycobacterium tuberculosis
Lineage: Bacteria; Bacillati; Actinomycetota; Actinomycetes; Mycobacteriales; Mycobacteriaceae
Description: partial 23S ribosomal RNA
Rfam family: Bacterial large subunit ribosomal RNA
Source: RNAcentral
GGCUAGGGGAUCUCACCGAUUUACCAAACCUAACCAAACUCCGAAUACCGAAGAGUACUAAUCGGCAGACACACGGCGGGUGCUAACGUCCGUCGUGAAGAGGGCAACAACCCUGACCACCAUCUAAGGUCCCUAAGUUAUGGCUAAGUGGGAAAGGAUGUGAGGAUCCCAAAACAACCAGGAUGUUGGCUUAGAAGCAGCCAUCAUUUAAAGAAAGCGUAACAGCUCACUGGUCUAAAUAAG